UACGAAGGGGGCUAGCGUUGCUCGGAAUUACUGGGCGUAAAGGGUUCGUAGGUGGUGCGGCAAGUUGGGAGUGAAAUCUCUGGGCUUAACUCAGAGGCUGCUUUCAAAACUGCCGCGCUCGAGUGCGAGAGAGGUCAGUGGAAUUGCAGGUGUAGCGGUGAAAUGCGUAGAUAUCUGCAGGAACACCCGUGGCGAAGGCGGCUGACUGGAUCGCAACUGACACUGAGGAACGAAAGCUAGGGGAGCAAACAGG
Molecule: ribosomal RNA, 253 nt
Filed under: uncultured bacterium
Lineage: Bacteria
Description: partial 16S ribosomal RNA
Rfam family: Bacterial small subunit ribosomal RNA
Source: RNAcentral